CUGCCAUCUCUAUUGCUCUCACCUUCAAUCAACAAUAUUAUCUUUGUCUGCUAAGGAAAAAUCUUUGUGGUCAAGGUUUCCAGGCUUACUGUUUGUAUAUAUUAGUGGAAAUGCUAAGUCCCAGCUUGAAUAAGCAACCGAGCACCUGGUGGGAAGACAGGGCCAACACAGGGAAGCUCAGGUGUGUGCAAUGCGCCUGAGUGACUGAAAGGGCUGGAGCUAGGAUCCAUCCUUUCCCAGACCUCAUUUAAGGGUUGGCUGUGAAGGCAAAGGUAUCUCUCUGGAGAUACCUGAUGUCUUUUGAAGCCCCAGUGGGGAGCCUUUUCUGAAGACUUGGCCAGCCUCUGGGGUACAGGUUAUUGGGAUUCUAUGCCUGUUCUAUUAGAAGUUCCUGGCAAUUCAAGGCUCAAAUCCAAAUGCAUGAUCUUGCUGAAGCUGCACCCUGGGGAUGGCUGCCUUAUAUUGUUUCUUCCUCUAGAGUAACUCAUUGCUUGAAACAACGACAAAUAGUACCUGCUAGUCACUCAGCCUCCAGUUACUCAGUUGCCCAUGUUUCAACAGACUGUCAAAUGAACCUCUCUCAUCUUUUUCUAA
Molecule: non-coding RNA, 594 nt
Organism: Meleagris gallopavo (turkey)
Lineage: Eukaryota; Metazoa; Chordata; Aves; Galliformes; Phasianidae
Source: RefSeq, a predicted model, not a curated record